RNAcentral lists this ribosomal RNA (203 nucleotides) under uncultured bacterium. RNAcentral describes it as "partial 16S ribosomal RNA". It matches the Rfam family "Bacterial small subunit ribosomal RNA", at positions 330 to 524 of the family's 1533-position model. The record is from RNAcentral.
ACGGGGGGCCUACGGGAGGCAGCAGUGGGGAAUAUUGGACAAUGGGAGCAACCCUGAUCCAGCCAUGCCGCGUGUGUGAAGAAGGCCUUUUGGUUGUAAAGCACUUUAAGCGAGGAGGAGGCUUACCUGGUUAAUACCUGGGAUAAGUGGACGUUACUCGCAGAAUAAGCACCGGCUAACUCUGUGCCAGCAGCCGCGGUAAU